Molecule: ribosomal RNA, 425 nt
Filed under: uncultured bacterium
Lineage: Bacteria
Description: bacterial SSU rRNA
Rfam family: Bacterial small subunit ribosomal RNA
Source: RNAcentral
GUGGGGAAUAUUGGACAAUGGGCGCAAGCCUGAUCCAGCCAUGCCGCGUGAGUGACGAAGGCCUUAGGGUUGUAAAGCUCUUUUGGCGGGGACGAUAAUGACGGUACCCGCAGAAUAAGCCCCGGCUAACUUCGUGCCAGCAGCCGCGGUAAUACGAAGGGGGCUAGCGUUGUUCGGAAUCACUGGGCGUAAAGCGCACGUAGGCGGAUUUGUUAGUCAGGGGUGAAAUCCCGGGGCUCAACCUCGGAACUGCCUUUGAUACUGCAAGUCUCGAGUCCGGAAGAGGUGAGUGGAAUUCCUAGUGUAGAGGUGAAAUUCGUAGAUAUUAGGAAGAACACCAGUGGCGAAGGCGGCUCACUGGUCCGGUACUGACGCUGAGGUGCGAAAGCGUGGGGAGCAAACAGGAUUAGAAACCCCUGUAGUCC